RNAcentral lists this transfer RNA (71 nucleotides) under Zingiber officinale. Its description in RNAcentral is "tRNA-Pro". Lineage: Eukaryota; Viridiplantae; Streptophyta; Magnoliopsida; Zingiberales; Zingiberaceae. The record is from RNAcentral.
GUUGGUUUGGUUGAGUUCGUUAAGACUCGGGUUCGGGUCCGUGAUCUUGGGUUCAAAACCCGGCUUCAACA